AGGCGAUGGAUAACAGGUUGAUAUUCCUGUACCACCUAUAAUCGUUUUAAUCGAUGGGGGGACGCAGUAGGAUAGGCGAAGCGUGCGAUUGGAUUGCACGUCUAAGCAGUAAGGCUGAGUAUUAGGCAAAUCCGGUACUCGUUAAGGCUGAGCUGUGAUGGGGAGAAGACAUUGUGUCUUCGAGUCGUUGAUUUCACACUGCCGAGAAAAGCCUCUAGAUAGAAAAUAGGUGCCCGUACCGCAAACCGACACAGGUAGUCAAGAUGAGAAUUCUAAGGUGAGCGAGCGAACUCUCGUUAAGGAACUCGGCAAAAUGACCCCGUAACUUCGGGAGAAGGGGUGCUCUUUAGGGUUAACGCCCAGAAGAGCCGCAGUGAAUAGGCCCAAGCGACUGUUUAUCAAAAACACAGGUCUCUGCUAAACCGUAAGGUGAUGUAUAGGGGCUGACGCCUGCCCGGUGCUGGAAGGUUAAGAGGAGUGGUUAGCUUCUGCGAAGCUACGAAUCGAAGCCCCAGUAAACGGCGGCCGUAACUAUAACGGUCCUAAGGUAGCGAAAUUCCUUGUCGGGUAAGUUCCGACCCGCACGAAAGGCGUAACGAUUUGGGCACUGUCUCAACGAGAGACUCGGUGAAAUCAUAGUACCUGUGAAGAUGCAGGUUACCCGCGACAGGACGGAAAGACCCCGUGGAGCUUUACUGUAGCCUGAUAUUGAAAUUCGGCACAGCUUGUACAGGAUAGGUAGGAGCCUUUGAAACGUGAGCGCUAGCUUACGUGGAGGCGCUGGUGGGAUACUACCCUAGCUGUGUUGGCUUUCUAACCCGCACCACUUAUCGUGGUGGGAGACAGUGUCAGGCGGGCAGUUUGACUGGGGCGGUCGCCUCCUAAAAGGUAACGGAGGCGCUCAAAGGUUCCCUCAGAAUGGUUGGAAAUCAUUCAUAGAGUGUAAAGGCAUAAGGGAGCUUGACUGCGAGACCUACAAGUCGAGCAGGGUCGAAAGACGGACUUAGUGAUCCGGUGGUUCCGCAUGGAAGGGCCAUCGCUCAACGGAUAAAAGCUACCCCGGGGAUAACAGGCUUAUCUCCCCCAAGAGUUCACAUCGACGGGGAGGUUUGGCACCUCGAUGUCGGCUCAUCGCAUCCUGGGGCUGUAGUCGGUCCCAAGGGUUGGGCUGUUCGCCCAUUAAAGCGGUACGCGAGCUGGGUUCAGAACGUCGUGAGACAGUUCGGUCCCUAUCCGUCGUGGGCGUAGGAAAUUUGAGAGGAGCUGUCCUUAGUACGAGAGGACCGGGAUGGACAUACCUCUGGUGUACCAGUUGUCGUGCCAACGGCAUAGCUGGGUAGCUAUGUGUGGACGGGAUAAGUGCUGAAAGCAUCUAAGCAUGAAGCCCCCCUCAAGAUGAGAUUUCCCAACUUCGGUUAUAAGAUCCCUCAAAGAUGAUGAGGUUAAUAGGUUCGAGGUGGAAGCAUGGUGACAUGUGGAGCUGACGAAUACUAAUCGAUCGAAGACUUAAUCAA
Molecule: ribosomal RNA, 1514 nt
Filed under: Staphylococcus aureus
Lineage: Bacteria; Bacillati; Bacillota; Bacilli; Caryophanales; Staphylococcaceae
Description: partial 23S ribosomal RNA
Rfam family: Bacterial large subunit ribosomal RNA
Source: RNAcentral